ACCUAUAGGAUUCUACAUAAUUAACCUUGUGAGGUAAUAUGUCAAAUAUUUUUAGAUGAGGACUGCAUAGAGCAUAAUUGAUCCAUUAAUUAGUUUGAUUUAUAAUUUUGUGUAGAUGGAACUUACUUGAUGUUGCCUGAUUGCUCGACGGAGCUGUCCUAUGACCGCUGGAGGAAGACAAUUCCGAAGUGCUAAUUCUGAAGUUGAUCUCGAAGUUUUGGUGGCCGGAGGAAGAUGAUUUAGAUUUUAUAACCUAAAAUCUAGAGGACAAUGAACCUAUGAGGUCUUGGGGAAGGUCUUAUAUGGAUGGCUAAGUUUCUCAUGUUUGCACGAUGGAAAGAAAGGUUUUUUGGAUU
This 356-nucleotide long non-coding RNA is filed under the name Triticum aestivum (bread wheat). Its description in RNAcentral is "long non-coding RNA (TAES_LNC011737)". The record is from RNAcentral. Lineage: Eukaryota; Viridiplantae; Streptophyta; Magnoliopsida; Poales; Poaceae.